ACGAGAGAAUUGCUAGCUUGCUAAUAAUUCUCUAGUGGCGCACGGGUGAGUAACACGUGAGUAACCUGCCCCCGAGAGCGGGAUAGCCCUGGGAAACUGGGAUUAAUACCGCAUAGUAUCGAAAGAUUAAAGCAGCAAUGCGCUUGGGGAUGGGCUCGCGGCCUAUUAGUUAGUUGGUGAGGUAACGGCUCACCAAGGCGAUGACGGGUAGCCGGUCUGAGAGGAUGUCCGGCCACACUGGAACUGAGACACGGUCCAGACACCUACGGGUGGCAGCAGUCGAGAAUCAUUCACAAUGGGGGAAACCCUGAUGGUGCGACGCCGCGUGGGGGAAUGAAGGUCUUCGGAUUGUAAACCCCUGUCAUGUGGGAGCAAAUUAAAAAGAUAGUACCACAAGAGGAAGAGACGGCUAACUCUGUGCCAGCAGCCGCGGUAAUACAGAGGUCUCAAGCGUUGUUCGGAAUCACUGGGCGUAAAGCGUGCGUAGGCUGUUUCGUAAGUCGUGUGUGAAAGGCGCGGGCUCAACCCGCGGACGGCACAUGAUACUGCGAGACUAGAGUAAUGGAGGGGGAACCGGAAUUCUCGGUGUAGCAGUGAAAUGCGUAGAUAUCGAGAGGAACACUCGUGGCGAAGGCGGGUUCCCGGACAUUAACUGACGCUGAGGCACGAAGGCCAGGGGAGCGAAAGGGAUUAGAUACCCCUGUAGUCCUGGCAGUAAACGGUGCACGCUUGGUGUGCGGGGAAUCGACCCCCUGCGUGCCGGAGCUAACGCGUUAAGCGUGCCGCCUGGGGAGUACGGUCGCAAGAUUAAAACUCAAAGAAAUUGACGGGGACCCGCACAAGCGGUGGAGUAUGUGGCUUAAUUCGAUGCAACGCGAAGAAACUUACCUGGGCUU
Molecule: ribosomal RNA, 896 nt
Filed under: uncultured bacterium
Lineage: Bacteria
Description: bacterial SSU rRNA
Rfam family: Bacterial small subunit ribosomal RNA
Source: RNAcentral